Long non-coding RNA from Saccostrea cuccullata (small rock oyster), 1665 nucleotides. RefSeq lists it as uncharacterized. The transcript is spliced from 4 exons. Lineage: Eukaryota; Metazoa; Mollusca; Bivalvia; Ostreida; Ostreidae. The record is from RefSeq and is a predicted model, not a curated record.
UUUAUGUUCAUAAAUAAUUUUAUGCCCAUUUCUUGUGUAUUGAAAGUGGGACAAGCGAGAUAACUCUAAUACUUUUGUUCGGUCUUGUUUUUGGAACAGCCUCAGUAUAUGAUUGAGUACAAUCAGUGGCAGCGCCAUAUUUGUAUGGAAAUACAAUUUUAUUUUUGAACAAGCAAGUUGGCUUACAGCGUGUCCAGUGCACAGUUAAUACAUUUGAUGGACUUCUCGUGGUGUGAUCUUUUGGAUUUCCAAGGAAUUCAGCACAUUUAGAGCCAGUCCAAGAGUGGGAAAUACAGAAAGGGACCCUUGUGAUCAAGCAUUUAUUUUUACUUAGAACAAGAUGAGUACCGGUAAUAGGCCUACAGACUAUGGGGUGGUUACAAAGCCAGUUAAUUUACAACAAGAGGAAGUCGCAAGUGACACUCCAACAAGCAACAAUCAUUCAAGCCAAUUAGAAGAUGGCAAUUUUACCAAGUAAUUCAGGAAAGAGGACAUUGGCUUAGAAAAACAGUUUCAACCAUGAUGACAGGAGCAUCUGGUUGUAUCAAGUAGUAAAGUUUUGAUGUAAUUAUGCAUCUACAAGUGUGACACAUUAUCUGUUUCAGGAAAGAGGACAUUGGCUUAGGAAAACAUUUUCAACCAUGAUGACAGGAGCAUCUGGUUGUAUCAAGAAGUAGUAAAGUUUUGACGUAAUUAUGCAUCUAACAAAGUUUGUGUACAAUGCAUAAUAAUAUGGUAUUGUUUACAAGAGUUGAAAUACUUUCUUUGUAUGUUGGUAAUGUGUUAUUUUUCAUUGUUUGUAUCCGGUUUGUAUGAAUUUUAGGGAUACUUCUAUUGUAGUAAGAUUAAGACUCGCACUAGGGUUGGGUGGGGAUUACUGCUGAUGACAGUUCAGAUCUGCCUGUCAUUGGCAGUAAGUGGCAUUUUUACCUUACCCCACCUUUGAUGUAAAAAUUUUAUACAGUAAUGUUUUGAUCUAUUUCGAAGUUGCAUGUAGUGAUAUUGGUAUCACUGCAAGGUUUAUAAAUGUAAAUCUAUCAAACUACAUUUUCAUUUUUGUAAUAGUUUUACAAAAUUGUCAUUUGGUAAUAAAUGACCUUUUUCAACUUCAAACGGUGUUGUGUUGGUAUCAGAUAGUAUAAUAUUACAUCAAACAGAGCAACCUUUAGUGCGAGUAUCAGGAAGAUGGGCAUAAAUGCUAUUUAUGUUCAUAAAUAAUUUUAUGCCCAUUUCUUGUGUAUUGAAAGUGGGACAAGCGAGAUAACUCUAAUACUUUUGUUCGGUCUUGUUUUUGGAACAGCCUCAGUAUAUGAUUGAGUACAAUCAGUGGCAGCGCCAUAUUUGUAUGGAAAUACAAUUUUAUUUUUGAACAACCCUCCCACCUCUCCCUAAUAGUUAAAAAAUUAUAGUGUUCUUAAUUGAUGUGAAUAAUUUGACAAUAUUUUUCCAUAUUUCUUUUUUCAGUAGGUAAGGCAUUUUUACCUUACCCCACCUUUGAUGUAAAAAUUUUAUAAAGUAAUGUUUUGAUCUAUUUCGAAGUUGCAUGUAGUGAUAUUGGUAUCACUGCAAGGUUUAUAAAUGUAAAUCUAUCAAACUACAUUUUCAUUUUUGUAAUAGUUUUACAAAAUUGUCAUUUGGUAAUAAAUGACCUUUUUCAACUUCAAA